GAAUUCGCCCUUAGAGUUUGAUCCUGGCUCAGGAUGAACGCUGGCGGCGUGCUUAACACAUUCAAGUCGUACGGGAACUUACCACGGAAGUCCUUCGGGAUGGAAGAGAUAAGUUUUAGUGGCGGACGGGUGAGUAACGCGUGAGCAAUCUGCCUUUGUGAGGGGAAUAACGUUUGGAAACGAACGCUAAUACCGCAUAAAGUAUUCGGAUCGCAUGGUUUGAAUACCAAAGAGAAAUCGCACAAAGAUGAGCUCGCGUCCGAUUAGAUAGUUGGUGAGGUAACGGCCCACCAAGUCGACGAUCGGUAGCCGGACUGAGAGGUUGAACGGCCACAUUGGAACUGAGAAACGGUCCAGACUCCUACGGGAGGCAGCAGUGGGGAAUAUUGGGCAAUGGGCGAAAGCCUGACCCAGCGACGCCGCGUGAGGGAAGAAGGUCUUCGGAUUGUAAACCUUAGUUAUUGGGGAAGAAGAAAGUGACGGUACCCAAAGAGAAAGCCACGGCUAACUACGUGCCAGCAGCCGCGGUAAUACGUAGGUGGCGAGCGUUAUCCGGAAUUACUGGGUUUAAAGGGUGCGCAGGCGGGCGAUUAAGUCAGCGGUGAAAGGCUCGGGCUCAACCGGAGCAGUGCCGUUGAUACUGGUUGUCUUGAAUGCGGUCAAGGCCGGCGGAAUGUGGCAUGUAGCGGUGAAAUGCGUAGAGAUCAGGAAGAACACCGAUGGCGAAGGCAGCUUGCUGGGGACUAAUCGACGCUCAUGCUCGAAAGUGCGGGUAGCAAACAGGAUUAGAUACCCUGGUAGUCCGCACCGUAAACGAUGCAUACUGGGUGUCCGCGGUUCGCCGCGGGUACCGUAGCCAACGCGUUAAGUAUGCCGCCUGGGGAGUACGUACGCAAGUAUGAAACUCAAAGGAAUUGACGGGGGCCCGCACAAGCGGUGGAGCAUGUGGUUUAAUUCGAAGCAACGCGCAGAACCUUACCAGGGUUUGACAUGGGAACGCCGCGGCGAGAGAUCGCCGUUUGUAGCAAUACACGUUCCGCACAGGUGCUGCAUGGCUGUCGUCAGCUCGUGUCGUGAGAUGUUGGGUUAAGUCCCGCAACGAGCGCAACCCACGUUUCCAGUUGCCACCCGCGAGGGGGCCCUCUGGAGAGACUGCCGGGGACAACCCGGAGGAAGGUGUGGAUGACGUCAAGUCCUCAUGGCCCUUACAUCCUGGGCUACACACGUGCUACAAUGGGCGGUACAAUGGGCUGCCAGACCGCGAGGUCGAGCGAAUCCCCAAAGCCGGUCCCAGUUCGGAUCGGAGGCUGCAACCCGCCUCCGUGAAGUCGGAGUUGCUAGUAAUCGCAGAUCAGAAUGCUGCGGUGA
Molecule: ribosomal RNA, 1368 nt
Filed under: uncultured bacterium
Lineage: Bacteria
Description: bacterial SSU rRNA
Rfam family: Bacterial small subunit ribosomal RNA
Source: RNAcentral